This 436-nucleotide ribosomal RNA is filed under the name Nosema sp. RNAcentral's name for it is "SSU rRNA". It matches the Rfam family "Microsporidia small subunit ribosomal RNA", at positions 45 to 479 of the family's 1311-position model. Lineage: Eukaryota; Fungi; Microsporidia; Nosematidae. The record is from RNAcentral.
AACCCAUGCAUGUUUUUGACAUUUGAAAAAUGGACUGCUCAGUAAUACUCACUUUAUUUUAUGUAAAUUUUUAAUUAACUACGUUAAAGUGUAGAUAAGAUGUUUACAGUAAGAGUGAGACCUAUCAGCUAGUUGUUAAGGUAAUGGCUUAACAAGGCUGUGACGGGUAACGGUAUUACUUUGUAAUAUUCCGGAGAAGGAGCCUGAGAGACGGCUACUAAGUCUAAGGAUUGCAGCAGGGGCGAAACUUGACCUAUGGAUUUUAUCUGAGGCAGUUAUGGGAAGUAAUAUUAUAUUGUUUCAUAUUUUAAAAGUAUAUGAGGUGAUUAAUUGGAGGGCAAAUCAAGUGCCAGCAGCCGCGGUAAUACUUGUUCCAAGAGUGUGUAUGAUGAUUGAUGCAGUUAAAAAGUCCGUAGUUUAUUUUUUUAUGAAGCAA